UACGGGGGGGGCAAGCGUUGUUCGGAAUUACUGGGCGUAAAGGGCUCGUAGGCGGCCAACUAAGUCCGACGUGAAAUCCCAAGGCUUAACCUUGGAACUGCGUCGGAUACUGGAUGGCUUGAAUUCGGGAGAGGGAUGCAGAAUUCCAGGUGUAGCGGUGAAAUGCGUAGAUAUCUGGAGGAAUACCGGUGGCGAAGGCGGCAUCCUGGACCGACAUUGACGCUGAUGAGCGAAAGCUAGGGGAGCAAACGG
This 252-nucleotide ribosomal RNA is filed under the name uncultured bacterium. RNAcentral's name for it is "partial 16S ribosomal RNA". It matches the Rfam family "Bacterial small subunit ribosomal RNA", at positions 524 to 775 of the family's 1533-position model. The record is from RNAcentral.